RNAcentral lists this transfer RNA (71 nucleotides) under Stegodyphus mimosarum. It matches the Rfam family "tRNA". Rfam says of the family: Transfer RNA (tRNA) molecules are approximately 80 nucleotides in length. Lineage: Eukaryota; Metazoa; Arthropoda; Arachnida; Araneae; Eresidae. The record is from Rfam by way of RNAcentral.
GCCUUCGUGGUGUAACGGUAACACACUCGGCCCGAAUUCGAGAGGUCCAGAUUCGAAUCCCGGUGAGGUCA